CUAUUUUGUUGGCUAUAUAUGUAUACAUUUUCUGAGGUUUGAUCUGCUAUAAUUUGGUCAAAUUGGGUAUUAUUGAUUAGAUACUGUGUGUGCUUAUUAUGGAACUGAUAUUUGGUAGGCAUAGAGUCAAGCCUUAAAUAAAGAUCUAAGGAUCCUGCUCUCCUCCAAUAAUGACUCAGUGAUCAGAAGUUAGACUCAACCUGACCAUAUGCCUUAGAACAAUGAAGAUGAAUCUUUUAGAGACUGAGUGCCCAAACUGCAACCCUCAUACCACAGAAUAGAAUAGCCAAGUUUUGGAGCCAAGCCAACUGCUUCUUCUCCUGACAUGAAUUAGUAACCUUUGGAGAUGGGAUGAAUAAGAAGAGUCUCAAGAUGUCUAUUGUGUUACCCUUAACAUCAUACAAUGACAGACUUCGUGCUACACAUGAUGCUUCCUUGCCACAGGAGAGAAAUAUCUGAUCAACCUGUCACCCUUGGCUUGCUCAGGCAAGAGAGCAAGAUUAACUGUCUCCCCCUGGAAUCUCCUCUUCCCUCAAGAUCCCAAACCUUCUUCACCAUCCCCCGCUGUGGAUACAAACCUCAGCAUGUCCUCCAGGCUCUGUCCCUCAGAGUCUCUGGAUCAUUCCUCUGUCAUACCAGUAACAGCCUCUGUGUCCAGUCUCUGCUCUUGGAAGAGUUUGAAGUGGAAUGUUGGCCCUGCAACCUCUCAUGCAUCCAGCUUUGCAAAAUCCCUUUCCUACAGUAUUGAUUGUAAGAGAGAAGCAGCUUCAACUAUGAGAUUGGAAGAGGCAAUGGAAUGGAACAAAAAAGAGAGCAUAUCUUCAACAGAGGAAAAGUUGGAGACACUGGAAGCACAAAUUGAGGGAGAUUUCAACUCACACUCUUAUGCUGCUUAUUUAGCAUAAUAUGUUUACUGUUAAUGAAUGUUUAACAUUCUAGUCUGGUUAGGCCAGUCUAAUGAAUAUAACCGUCUUUAAACUGUAGAUCGCUUUCAAUGAAAAUGUGAUAACAUAGCAAGAUUAUACAUUUCAUAUCCUUAAAACAAAUAAUCUCACUUCUGGGCUUAUACUCAUGAGGAUGUCAAAGGCUAGAAAUAAAAUUCCAAU
RNAcentral lists this long non-coding RNA (1106 nucleotides) under Monodelphis domestica (gray short-tailed opossum). Its description in RNAcentral is "lncRNA (ENSMODG00000049453.1)". The record is from RNAcentral. Lineage: Eukaryota; Metazoa; Chordata; Mammalia; Didelphimorphia; Didelphidae.